RNAcentral lists this transfer RNA (69 nucleotides) under Gymnocypris eckloni (Yellow River scaleless carp). RNAcentral describes it as "tRNA-His". It matches the Rfam family "tRNA". Rfam says of the family: Transfer RNA (tRNA) molecules are approximately 80 nucleotides in length. RNAcentral also lists the same sequence under 5 other names. Lineage: Eukaryota; Metazoa; Chordata; Actinopteri; Cypriniformes; Cyprinidae. The record is from RNAcentral.
GUAGGUAUAGUUUAACCAAAAUAUUAGAUUGUGAUUCUAAAGACAGAGGUUAAAAUCCUCUUACUCACC